GAUGAAGAACGUAGUGAAAUGCGAUAAGUAAUGCGAAUUGCAGAAUUUCCGUGAGUCAUCGAAUCUUUGAACGCACAUUGCGCCCACUGGUAUUCCGGUGGGCAUGCCUGUUCGAGCGUCAUUAUCCUCCCUCAAACCUCGGGUUUGGUGUUGGACCCAAGUUGUGUGAACAACUGGUCUUAAAGACAAUGACGGCGUCCGUGGGACCCUCGGUGCAACGAGCUUUUAGGAGCACGCGUCGAGUUUCAAGGACCUUCCGGGCCGGUCUCCUUUACCAUUUUACAAGGUUGACCUCGGAUCAGGUAGGAAUACCCGCUGAACUUAAGCAUAUCAAUAAGCGGAGGA
This 345-nucleotide unclassified non-coding RNA is filed under the name soil metagenome. RNAcentral's name for it is "partial contains 5.8S ribosomal RNA, internal transcribed spacer 2, and large subunit ribosomal RNA". The stretch from base 1 to 121 matches the Rfam family "5.8S ribosomal RNA", at positions 35 to 154 of the family's 154-position model. The record is from RNAcentral.